GAUGAACGCUGGCGGCGUGCCUAAUACAUGCAAGUCGAGCGAACGGACGAGAAGCUUGCUUCUCUGAUGUUAGCGGCGGACGGGUGAGUAACACGUGGAUAACCUACCUAUAAGACUGGGAUAACUUCGGGAAACCGUAGCUAAUACCGGAUAAUAUUUUGAACCGCAUGGUUCAAAAGUGAAAGACGGUCUUGCUGUCACUUAUAGAUGGAGCCGCGCUGCAUUAGCUAGUUGGUAAGGUAACGGCUUACCAAGGCAACGAUGCAUAGCCGACCUGAGAGGGUGAUCGGCCACACUGGAACUGAGACACGGUCCAGACUCCUACGGGAGGCAGCAGUAGGGAAUCUUCCGCAAUGGGCGAAAGCCUGACGGAGCAACGCCGCGUGAGUGAUGAAGGUCUUCGGAUCGUAAAACUCUGUUAUUAGGGAAGAACAUAUGUGUAAGUAACUGUGCACAUCUUGACGGUACCUAAUCAGAAAGCCACGGCUAACUACGUG
RNAcentral lists this ribosomal RNA (497 nucleotides) under uncultured bacterium. RNAcentral describes it as "partial 16S ribosomal RNA". It matches the Rfam family "Bacterial small subunit ribosomal RNA", at positions 28 to 507 of the family's 1533-position model. The record is from RNAcentral.